UCUGCCUACGGGACGCAGCAGUGAGGAAUAUUGGUCAAUGGCCGAGAGGCUGAACCAGCCAAGUCGCGUGAGGGAAGAAUGUCCUAUGGAUUGUAAACCUCUUUUGUCAGGGAGCAAAGUCACCCACGUGUGGGUGUUGGAGAGUACCUGAAGAAAAAGCAUCGGCUAACUCCGUGCCAGCAGCCGCGGUAAUACGUAGGUGGCAAGCGUUGUCCGGAUUUAUUGGGCGUAAAGCGAGUGCAGGCGGUUCAAUAAGUCUGAUGUGAAA
Molecule: ribosomal RNA, 268 nt
Filed under: uncultured bacterium
Lineage: Bacteria
Description: partial 16S ribosomal RNA
Rfam family: Bacterial small subunit ribosomal RNA
Source: RNAcentral